Molecule: microRNA, 21 nt
Filed under: Heliconius melpomene (postman butterfly)
Lineage: Eukaryota; Metazoa; Arthropoda; Insecta; Lepidoptera; Nymphalidae
Description: Hme-Mir-277_5p* (star (passenger))
Source: RNAcentral
CGUGCCAGGGGUGCGUUUGCA